This 259-nucleotide ribosomal RNA is filed under the name uncultured bacterium. Its description in RNAcentral is "partial 16S ribosomal RNA". It matches the Rfam family "Bacterial small subunit ribosomal RNA", at positions 334 to 584 of the family's 1533-position model. The record is from RNAcentral.
UAGUGCCUACGGGACGCAGCAGUAGGGAAUCUUCCACAAUGGGCGAAAGCCUGAUGGAGCAACGCCGCGUGGGUGAAGAAGGUGUUCGGAUCGUAAAGCCCUGUUGUUAGAGAAGAAAGUGCGUGAGAGUAACUGUUCACGUUUCGACGGUAUCUAACCAGAAAGCCACGGAUAACUACGUGCCAGCAGCCGCGGUAAUACGUAGGUGGCAAGCGUUAUCCGGAUUUAUUGGGCGUAAAGAGAACGCAGGCGGACUUUU